UUGAGCAUUAUUUGGCACGUAUGAGAUCACCAAUCACUUCCCUAUAAAUAGAGCAACAUAUUUGCUUCAUUACCAAGCUUUGGAGAGCCAAAGAACCUCUGCUUUGCUCUCAAACUUUUCCAGAAAAUUGAGCUAUCAUGUUUUGAUUUCUAGCUUGUUUCAAUUCAAUUUCUUAAUUCUAAUAACACCUUUGGUCUCCUCUGAAGCUUUUGCAAUAAUUCCCAAGCUCUAAGACCUUCUGAAGUUCCC
RNAcentral lists this long non-coding RNA (249 nucleotides) under Lathyrus oleraceus (garden pea). Its description in RNAcentral is "Pisum sativum (pea) long non-coding RNA (PSAT_LNC040129)". The record is from RNAcentral. Lineage: Eukaryota; Viridiplantae; Streptophyta; Magnoliopsida; Fabales; Fabaceae.